AAAAGGUGCCCUGAACCUCGGAAAACUAACCUCGCUCUGUAGCUUUUCUCCCCUCCCCAAGGUCUUGGGCACGCACAUUUAAAGCCAAAAACCUUAGUUUGGCCCAGAACUCCAACCACCAGAGGUUACCCGGAGGGGCUUUUUUUUUAAGCCUGAGGGUUCCCACCCCCAGCUCGGGAGCCUUGGGAAUGGCCCGGUUACCUUAGAAGUGCAGCCCCGAGGUGAAAGCACUGGGUCACCAUCUCUGCUCCUCCGGUCCCGCGGCUCGCUACGUGACACUCAAGCUGAGGGACUCGCCCCCGGCCCCUCCAAACGUUAGCGUCACAUUCAAAGUCACAUCUCCCACCCCAAACUCCCUUCAGGGUGCACCACACUACCCUGACUCUCUACUCUCUACUUCUUGAUCUCAUUCAGUCUUUCCAACAGAGUGAACAAAAACCUGCCAAGGUGAGCGAUUUGCACACGGUGGCGUAAGAAAUACCAAAACUGAGCAGUCCGGUUCUUUUAAAUGCUAAUCUUUCUGGCAGUACAGGGGAAAGAGGAAGAAAUACGGGAGUGAGGGUUUCCCUUAAGGAAUAUUUUUCUUUGUGGGGGGAAGAAUACAAACUUCGGCGGUGGGGUUAAUGAGGCUGAAGUGACAAAUAUUUAAACCAUAUGUAAACAGAUUUGAGGGGCUAGAGAACCCAGAGAAAUAUAGAAAAAGAAUGAAACUCCUCCUGUCUUAGAGGUUGCAUCUGGAGCUGGGCUGGCCCCCGGGGGAAGUGCUUCUCCUUCCUCCACCCCAAUCGUGCGCAUCUGCCACUUUCUACUUUUCACAAUUGUCACUAUCAUUCCGUCACUGGUAGCAUUACUAAUAUCAGAGCAGCAGCACUGAGAUAUUGUGGACUACAUCAAUCCUUCCCUCCCAAUUCUGACUAAAUUUUCUUAAUCCCUGAGUUAAAAUCAUAUUGGAGUAAAUAACUAGUCCUUUAGAGAACUAAGUUCUCCAAGGAAAAGAAGAAAAAAAAAUAACCCUUUAUAUGAACUUUGAAAAAGCAGAUCUUUUCGUGACAGCACUAUUUUUUUCCUUAUGUUGUUGUUUGGAGAUAAACCCUGAGUUCUUCAAGGUUUUACCCACAAAGCUCAAGAUAUUUUCUUAGUACAGGCCUAAGGAGGAACUGUCUGUCUAAUGGAAAGACUCGUUCAUUCUCAAAGAGAUGGCCACCAGAUCAUAAUUAUUUUUUAGCCUCAGUUCUAUAAAGGCAGAGAGAGGUGACACUUUGCAUUGCUGGAGGAAACAUACAUAUGUGAAACUAAUAGUCUAUGAAUUAUUAAAGUAAGAAAGGCCAUAGUUCUCAUGAAAAACAUUGCCAACUUUUAUAUUCCAAAGCCCAUUUGUCAUUGUCAAGGUUUUUCUUAAGUGCUAUUAAAUGGACAAAUGCUUUUUCUCCUUGUAAUACACAGCAAGAGUAUUUUUCAAAUGCUAUCAAACAACAAUGGGAAUUUUGGACUGAAAAUAAACCUAUAAGGUCUAAAGUUCCAUUUUGUGUGUGUGUAUUAUCUAACUCAGUAAGGAUGUAAACUGUAUUUAAUAAUCUUGAGG
This is a long non-coding RNA of Sarcophilus harrisii (Tasmanian devil), 1582 nucleotides long. Lineage: Eukaryota; Metazoa; Chordata; Mammalia; Dasyuromorphia; Dasyuridae. The record is from Ensembl.